GGUUAAGCGACUAAGCGUACACGGUGGAUGCCCUGGCAGUCAGAGGCGAUGAAGGACGUGCUAAUCUGCGAUAAGCGUCGGUAAGGUGAUAUGAACCGUUAUAACCGGCGAUUUCCGAAUGGGGAAACCCAGUGUGAUUCGUCACACUAUCAUUAACUGAAUCCAUAGGUUAAUGAGGCGAACCGGGGGAACUGAAACAUCUAAGUACCCCGAGGAAAAGAAAUCAACCGAGAUUCCCCCAGUAGCGGCGAGCGAACGGGGAGCAGCCCAGAGCCUGAAUCAGUGUGUGUGUUAGUGGAAGCGUCUGGAAAGGCGCGCGAUACAGGGUGACAGCCCCGUACACAAAAAUGCACAUGCUGUGAGCUCGAUGAGUAGGGCGGGACACGUGGUAUCCUGUCUGAAUAUGGGGGGACCAUCCUCCAAGGCUAAAUACUCCUGACUGACCGAUAGUGAACCAGUACCGUGAGGGAAAGGCGAAAAGAACCCCGGCGAGGGGAGUGAAAAAGAACCUGAAACCGUGUACGUACAAGCAGUGGGAGCACGCUUAGGCGUGUGACUGCGUACCUUUUGUAUAAUGGGUCAGCGACUUAUAUUCUGUAGCAAGGUUAACCGAAUAGGGGAGCCGAAGGGAAACCGAGUCUUAACUGGGCGUUAAGUUGCAGGGUAUAGACCCGAAACCCGGUGAUCUAGCCAUGGGCAGGUUGAAGGUUGGGUAACACUAACUGGAGGACCGAACCGACUAAUGUUGAAAAAUUAGCGGAUGACUUGUGGCUGGGGGUGAAAGGCCAAUCAAACCGGGAGAUAGCUGGUUCUCCCCGAAAGCUAUUUAGGUAGCGCCUCGUGAAUUCAUCUCCGGGGGUAGAGCACUGUUUCGGCAAGGGGGUCAUCCCGACUUACCAACCCGAUGCAAACUGCGAAUACCGGAGAAUGUUAUCACGGGAGACACACGGCGGGUGCUAACGUCCGUCGUGAAGAGGGAAACAACCCAGACCGCCAGCUAAGGUCCCAAAGUCAUGGUUAAGUGGGAAACGAUGUGGGAAGGCCCAGACAGCCAGGAUGUUGGCUUAGAAGCAGCCAUCAUUUAAAGAAAGCGUAAUAGCUCACUGGUCGAGUCGGCCUGCGCGGAAGAUGUAACGGGGCUAAACCAUGCACCGAAGCUGCGGCAGCGACGCUUAUGCGUUGUUGGGUAGGGGAGCGUUCUGUAAGCCUGUGAAGGUGUGCUGUGAGGCAUGCUGGAGGUAUCAGAAGUGCGAAUGCUGACAUAAGUAACGAUAAAGCGGGUGAAAAGCCCGCUCGCCGGAAGACCAAGGGUUCCUGUCCAACGUUAAUCGGGGCAGGGUGAGUCGACCCCUAAGGCGAGGCCGAAAGGCGUAGUCGAUGGGAAACAGGUUAAUAUUCCUGUACUUGGUGUUACUGCGAAGGGGGGACGGAGAAGGCUAUGUUGGCCGGGCGACGGUUGUCCCGGUUUAAGCGUGUAGGCUGGUUUUCCAGGCAAAUCCGGAAAAUCAAGGCUGAGGCGUGAUGACGAGGCACUACGGUGCUGAAGCAACAAAUGCCCUGCUUCCAGGAAAAGCCUCUAAGCAUCAGGUAACAUCAAAUCGUACCCCAAACCGACACAGGUGGUCAGGUAGAGAAUACCAAGGCGCUUGAGAGAACUCGGGUGAAGGAACUAGGCAAAAUGGUGCCGUAACUUCGGGAGAAGGCACGCUGAUAUGUAGGUGAAGUCCCUCGCGGAUGGAGCUGAAAUCAGUCGAAGAUACCAGCUGGCUGCAACUGUUUAUUAAAAACACAGCACUGUGCAAACACGAAAGUGGACGUAUACGGUGUGACGCCUGCCCGGUGCCGGAAGGUUAAUUGAUGGGGUCAGCGCAAGCGAAGCUCUUGAUCGAAGCCCCGGUAAACGGCGGCCGUAACUAUAACGGUCCUAAGGUAGCGAAAUUCCUUGUCGGGUAAGUUCCGACCUGCACGAAUGGCGUAAUGAUGGCCAGGCUGUCUCCACCCGAGACUCAGUGAAAUUGAACUCGCUGUGAAGAUGCAGUGUACCCGCGGCAAGACGGAAAGACCCCGUGAACCUUUACUAUAGCUUGACACUGAACAUUGAGCCUUGAUGUGUAGGAUAGGUGGGAGGCUUUGAAGUGUGGACGCCAGUCUGCAUGGAGCCGACCUUGAAAUACCACCCUUUAAUGUUUGAUGUUCUAACGUUGACCCGUAAUCCGGGUUGCGGACAGUGUCUGGUGGGUAGUUUGACUGGGGCGGUCUCCUCCUAAAGAGUAACGGAGGAGCACGAAGGUUGGCUAAUCCUGGUCGGACAUCAGGAGGUUAGUGCAAUGGCAUAAGCCAGCUUGACUGCGAGCGUGACGGCGCGAGCAGGUGCGAAAGCAGGUCAUAGUGAUCCGGUGGUUCUGAAUGGAAGGGCCAUCGCUCAACGGAUAAAAGGUACUCCGGGGAUAACAGGCUGAUACCGCCCAAGAGUUCAUAUCGACGGCGGUGUUUGGCACCUCGAUGUCGGCUCAUCACAUCCUGGGGCUGAAGUAGGUCCCAAGGGUAUGGCUGUUCGCCAUUUAAAGUGGUACGCGAGCUGGGUUUAGAACGUCGUGAGACAGUUCGGUCCCUAUCUGCCGUGGGCGCUGGAGAACUGAGGGGGGCUGCUCCUAGUACGAGAGGACCGGAGUGGACGCAUCACUGGUGUUCGGGUUGUCAUGCCAAUGGCACUGCCCGGUAGCUAAAUGCGGAAGAGAUAAGUGCUGAAAGCAUCUAAGCACGAAACUUGCCCCGAGAUGAGUUCUCCCUGAC
RNAcentral lists this ribosomal RNA (2793 nucleotides) under Escherichia coli. RNAcentral's name for it is "partial 23S ribosomal RNA". It matches the Rfam family "Bacterial large subunit ribosomal RNA". Lineage: Bacteria; Pseudomonadati; Pseudomonadota; Gammaproteobacteria; Enterobacterales; Enterobacteriaceae. The record is from RNAcentral.